This 333-nucleotide ribosomal RNA is filed under the name Triticum aestivum (bread wheat). RNAcentral's name for it is "partial small subunit ribosomal RNA". Lineage: Eukaryota; Viridiplantae; Streptophyta; Magnoliopsida; Poales; Poaceae. The record is from RNAcentral.
AUGGGUAGUGCUUUUUCAUGCCACUUUAUAAAGACGAGAAGAAGUGAGGAAGUUAUUAAAAGGGACUUUGCGCUCUGGUGCUGUAUUGUUGCUGCUGAUUGGAUAAGUGUUGCGCGAACAAUAAUGAAUGGAGAUCGAGAUCACAUCCUGCAGCUUGGUCGGUCUUCAAUUUGGGCCAAUUCUGCUGCCUGGUCCUGCUCUAAGGGCCUACCACGUUGGGAGCCUGCUGUGUCGCUCUGCCUCGGCGUUCUUGUGCGUUGUGUCGAUUCCAGUCUUACAAGUCAAGCAGGGGCCAGUAGUUUGUCUCAAAAAAAAAAAAGCAGGGGCCAGUAG